Molecule: long non-coding RNA, 210 nt
Filed under: Salvia miltiorrhiza (redroot sage)
Lineage: Eukaryota; Viridiplantae; Streptophyta; Magnoliopsida; Lamiales; Lamiaceae
Description: long non-coding RNA (SMIL_LNC011426)
Source: RNAcentral
GGAAUUUUAUUAACUUAAAUCCCGUUGAAUCAAGUCUAGGAGCCAAGUCGGGAAAACCGACUCCCAGAUCACAACAUCAUUACACGAAAGAGCAUAAUGAGCUAAAGAGUGAGCUACAGAAUUAGCUUCACGUCGCAUAUGGCGAAAAUCCACCACACAAGCUUCCCGCGCAGCAGUAAACGUCGAUCUAAGAUCCUCACACAGAGUCUC